Molecule: ribosomal RNA, 1265 nt
Filed under: Clostridium sp. OF03-18AA
Lineage: Bacteria; Bacillati; Bacillota; Clostridia; Eubacteriales; Clostridiaceae
Description: partial 23S ribosomal RNA
Rfam family: Bacterial large subunit ribosomal RNA
Source: RNAcentral
GUCUGGGAAGUCAGACCAAAGAGAGUGAAAGUCUCGUACAUGAAACCAGAAGGGAGCUAGUGGGAUCCAGAGUACUGCGAGACACGUGGAACCUUGCAGGAAGUCGGGGGGACCACCCCCCAAGGCUAAAUACUCCUUAGUGACCGAUAGCGCAUAGUACUGUGAAGGAAAGGUGAAAAGGACCCCGGGAGGGGAGUGAAAGAGAACCUGAAACCCUGUGUUUACAAGCUGUGGAAGCACGUUAAGGUGCAACCGCGUACUUUUUGUAGAACGGUCCGGCGAGUUGCGGAUGCUGGCAAGGUUAAGCACUGAAGGUGCGGAGCCGAAGCGAGAGCAAGUCUGAAUAGGGCGUCAAGUCAGCAUGUGCAGACCCGAAACCGGGUGAUCUAUCCAUGUCCAGGUUGAAGCGAAAGUAAAAUUUCGUGGAGGACCGAACGCACAUCCGUUGAAAAGGGUGGCGAUGAGGUGUGGAUAGGGGAGAAAUUCCAAUCGAACCCGGAGAUAGCUGGUUCUCCUCGAAAUAGCUUUAGGGCUAGCCUCGUAUUAGUCUGGUGGAGGUAGAGCACUGAAUUUCCUAGGGGGCGUCAAAGCCUACCGAAGAAUAUCAAACUCCGAAUGCCAUACAGAUGAUGUACGGGAGUCAGACGGCACGAGAUAAGUUGGGUCGUCAAAAGGGAAAGAGCCCAGACCUGCAGCUAAGGUCCCAAAGUGUGUGUUAAGUGGAAAAGGAUGUGGGAUUUCAAAGACAACUAGGAUGUUGGCUCAGAAGCAGCCACACAUUCAAAGAGUGCGUAAUAGCUCACUAGUCGAGAGGUCCUGCGCCGAAAAUGUCCGGGGCUGAAACACAACACCGAAGCUCAGGAAUGUAUUUAUACAUUGGUAGAGGAGCAUUCUUAAAGGGGCGAAGCAGUACCGAUAAGGAGCUGUGGACUUUUAAGAAGAGAGAAUGCCGGAAUGAGUAGCGAGAUGGAGGUGGGAAUCCUCCAGGCCGAAUAUCUAAGGUUUCCAGGGUAAAGCUGAUCUGCCCUGGGUAAGUCGGGGCCUAAGGCAAGGCUGAGAAGCGUAGCUGAUGGACAACAGGUUUAGAUUCCUGUACCACAUGGUAUCAGAACUGUGGGGACGCAGAGGGAUAAGAUGACCGGGGAACAGAUUCCCGGGCAAGCGCAGGAGGUGUCAGGCAGGCAAAUCCGUCUGACAAGCCAAAGGCGUGACGCGGACCGAACGAAAGUAGGGAAGCAUCCGAUUCCAGCUGCCGAGAAAAGCCG